CCCCACACCCCUGUGACGCCGUGUCCCCGUGUCCAUCUGUCCCCGCUUCCACGUGUCCCCACGUCUCACAUCCACACGUCCCCGUGACCCCGCAUCCUACAUCCCCACAUCUCGUGUCCCCAUGUCCUUCUGUCCCUGUGUCCUUCUGUCCCCAUGUCCCAUGUCCCCAUGUCCCAUGUCCCCACGUCCUUCAGCACCAUGUCCCCACACCCCUGUCACCCUGUGUCCCAUGUCCCUGUAUCCCAUAUCCCCAUGUCCAUCUGUCCCCACGUCCUUCUGUCCCCGUGUCCCAUGUCCCCAUGUCCCCAUGUCCUUCUGUCCCACAUCCCCACGUCCCACACCCGCACUCCACCCCCCCCACCCCUCCCCUAUAGGGCGCACAUCCCCAAAGCGAUGCACACAGCACCUCGCCGCCCCAAAAGGAACGGGACCGCAGCGGGGCGCUGCCCCAUAGGAGCACACAUCAUCGCCCCCCAUAGCGGCAGGCAUCGCCCCCCAUAGCGGGGUGUGGGGCGGAGGGAUGCUGCCCCAUAGAUGCAGCUGCCCCAUAGAUGCAGCUGCCCCAUAGAUGCAGCAGCCCCAGCGGCAGCCGCCCACCCCUGCGGCACCGCAGCGCUGCAGCACCGGCCCAC
This 632-nucleotide long non-coding RNA is filed under the name Phasianus colchicus (ring-necked pheasant). RNAcentral describes it as "lncRNA (ENSPCLG00000015098.1)". Lineage: Eukaryota; Metazoa; Chordata; Aves; Galliformes; Phasianidae. The record is from RNAcentral.